RNAcentral lists this long non-coding RNA (758 nucleotides) under Polistes fuscatus (common paper wasp). RNAcentral's name for it is "uncharacterized LOC122522402". The record is from RNAcentral. Lineage: Eukaryota; Metazoa; Arthropoda; Insecta; Hymenoptera; Vespidae.
UUUAUAUUGGAGGUUCUCUCUUAUGCGAUAAUCUUGUAUUAUUGGAGGAGCAUAAGCUCUUUUUAUAAGGUGUGGUUCUCUCUCUUUAAAGAAGCUUCCGAACGUUCGCUGAUAAAUGAUUAUCAAAGGAUAAGGAAUUGAAAUCUUCCAUUGGAGUAAUUUCUAAAGUACUAUUUUCCAAAAAGAUAAGUCCAUACUGUAUGAAAUGAAAAAAAUCCGUUGUAAAAAUGACAUAUUACUCGCCAAACUUGGAAUUUAGGAGCUACUAUCUUAGUAUUUCUAUGCAAUGUUAAUUCGAUGAGCUGUCCGAAGACAUUGAAAGCUAAUGGAACCUAGAAAAAAACAUGAUUAAAAUUUUGUCAUAUAUGAUAUUUAUAAUUUUAAAAGACAUAAAUUUUGUGGAAAAAAAUUGCAGGGAACGUAUCUACCUCAAUAACAUUUUCUGUGUUCCAUAAUGGUAACAUUACGAUUUCAACAUCCUUCAUAUCAUUUCCAUGAAUUAGAAUCACGAAAAUGAUCAAUAUAAAAUUUAAUAUAAAAAUCAUAUUGUACACUGUAAAAUAUUCCAAAGAAGAAUAUCACGAAGGAUCAAUCUACUUCUUCAUUUAUAUAUAUGCAUGCAACCGAUAUGCAAUACCCGCAGUAUAUUAUCAUUGCAGAAGUAAGCAUAAUGUUUUUAAAUAUAUGCUGGUGCCUCUAGUAACAAUGUCAUUGCCCUUAACAGUUGAUUAAUAAAUGGAUAAUACAUUUGAAACAUA